GGAUGUAUGGCUGAGCGGUUUAAAGCAUAAUAUUUGAGAUAUUACAACCUAUUUGGUUCACAGGUUCAAAUCCUGUUGCAUUCG
This is a non-coding RNA of Dujonia railenensis, 84 nucleotides long. The record is from the annotation of a GenBank genome assembly. Lineage: Eukaryota; Fungi; Ascomycota; Pichiomycetes; Serinales; Debaryomycetaceae.